GCUAGGUGUGGUGGUGCAUGCCUGUAAUCCCAGCUACUCAGGAGGCUGAGGCAGGAGAAUCACUUGAACCCAGGAGGCAGAGGUUGCAGUGAGCUGAGAUCACACCACUGCACCCUCCAGCCUGGGCAACAGAGUGAGACUCUGUCUCCA
Molecule: unclassified non-coding RNA, 150 nt
Organism: Papio anubis (olive baboon)
Lineage: Eukaryota; Metazoa; Chordata; Mammalia; Primates; Cercopithecidae
Rfam family: Metazoan signal recognition particle RNA
About the family: The signal recognition particle (SRP) is a universally conserved ribonucleoprotein.
Source: Ensembl